AACGGUCUAUACCUGCGGUACCUGCGGAGGGAUCAUUACUGAGUAACGUGGUCUUUGAUGGACCCGCUACCCGCCCUUUGUCAUAUGUUGGACGAGGUCGUCUUUAGGGGCGGCCUCCGACCCCACUUCCCGGGAGGCGUUGCGCCCCCAUCAAAGUCUAGGCUUUUGGUGGGGAUGGGACCGCCCGGGGUCUUUUUCCAAACCCUUUGUGAGAAAUCUGAAGUCUGAAGCGAAAGCUUA
This 240-nucleotide unclassified non-coding RNA is filed under the name soil metagenome. Its description in RNAcentral is "partial contains 5.8S ribosomal RNA, internal transcribed spacer 2, and large subunit ribosomal RNA". The record is from RNAcentral.